AAUUACCCACUCCCAGCACGGGGAGGUAGUGACGAAAAAUAACGAUACGGGACUCAUCCGAGGCCCCGUAAUCGGAAUGAGUACACUUUAAAACUUUUCCCGAGGAUCAAUUGGAGGGUAAGUCUGGUGCCAGCAGCCGCGGUAAUUCCAGCUCCAAUAGCGUAUAUUAAAGUUGUUGCGGUUAAAAAGCUCGUAGUCGAAUCUGUGUCCCGCGCCGCUGGUUCAUCGCUCGCGGUGUUCAACUGGCGUGUCUCGCGGGACGUCCUGCCGGUGGGCGCUCGUAUCGUUUCGGCGGUGCGUGGCCCAACUCGUAGCCGUCUAGCGCGGUUGCGAAUCCCAUCGCGGUGCUCUUUAUUGAGUGUCGAGGUGGGCCGGCACGUUUACUUUGAACAAAUUAGAGUGCUUAAAGCAGGCCAAUUUUGCCUGAAUAUUGUGUGCAUGGAAUAAUGGAAUAGGACCUCGGUUCUAUUUUGUUGGUUUUCGGAACCCCGAGGUAAUGAUUAAUAGGAACGGAUGGGGGCAUUCGUAUUGCGACGUUAGAGGUGAAAUUCUUGGAUCGUCGCAAGACGGACAGAAGCGAAAGCAUUUGCCAAAAACGCUUUCAUUGAUCAAGAACGAAAGUUAGAGGCUCGAAGGCGAUCAGAUACCGCCCUAGUUCUAACCAUAAACGAUGCCAGCUAGCGAUCCGCCGACGUUCCUCCGAUGACUCGGCGGGCAGCUUCCGGGAAACCAAAGCUUUUGGGUUCCGGGGGAAGUAUGGUUGCAAAGCUGAAACUUAAAGGAAUUGACGGAAGGGCACCACCAGGAGUGGAGCCUGCGGCUUAAUUUGACUCAACACGGGACACCUUACCAGGCCCGGACACCGGAAGGAUUGACAGAUUGAGAGCUCUUUCUUGAUUCGGUGGGUGGUGGUGCAUGGCCGUU
This 924-nucleotide ribosomal RNA is filed under the name Atheta myrmecobia. RNAcentral describes it as "SSU rRNA". It matches the Rfam family "Eukaryotic small subunit ribosomal RNA", at positions 439 to 1292 of the family's 1831-position model. The record is from RNAcentral. Lineage: Eukaryota; Metazoa; Arthropoda; Insecta; Coleoptera; Staphylinidae.